Molecule: non-coding RNA, 46 nt
Filed under: Schistosoma haematobium
Lineage: Eukaryota; Metazoa; Platyhelminthes; Trematoda; Strigeidida; Schistosomatidae
Source: RNAcentral
GUACUGCUGAAAAGUGCAAUACUAGGACGAAACGGUCGUCCAAUAC